GCAGGUGCGAGCGAACUAGAUUAGAAGCUUGCUUCUAUGACGUUAGCGGCGGACGGGUGAGUAACACGUGGGCAACCUGCCUGUAAGACUGGGAUAACUUCGGGAAACCGAAGCUAAUACCGGAUAGGAUCUUCUCCUUCAUGGGAGAUGAUUGAAAGAUGGUUUCGGCUAUCACUUACAGAUGGGCCCGCGGUGCAUUAGCUAGUUGGUGAGGUAACGGCUCACCAAGGCAACGAUGCAUAGCCGACCUGAGAGGGUGAUCGGCCACACUGGGACUGAGACACGGCCCAGACUCCUACGGGAGGCAGCAGUAGGGAAUCUUCCGCAAUGGACGAAAGUCUGACGGAGCAACGCCGCGUGAGUGAUGAAGGCUUUCGGGUCGUAAAACUCUGUUGUUAGGGAAGAACAAGUACGAGAGUAACUGCUCGUACCUUGACGGUACCUAACCAGAAAGCCACGGCUAACUACGUGCCAGCAGCCGCGGUAAUACGUAGGUGGCAAGCGUUAUCCGGAAUUAUUGGGCGUAAAGCGCGCGCAGGCGGUUUCUUAAGUCUGAUGUGAAAGCCCACGGCUCAACCGUGGAGGGUCAUUGGAAACUGGGGAACUUGAGUGCAGAAGAGAAAAGCGGAAUUCCACGUGUAGCGGUGAAAUGCGUAGAGAUGUGGAGGAACACCAGUGGCGAAAGCGGCUUUUUGGUCUGUAACUGACGCUGAGGCGCGAAGCGUGGGGAGCAAACAGGAUUAAUUACCCUGGGUAGUCCCCGCCGUAACGAUGAUUGCUAAGUGUUAGAGGGUUUCCGCCCUUUGUGCUGCACUAACGCAUUAAGCACUCCGCCUGGGGAGUACGGCGCAGACUGAAACUCAAAGGAAUGACGGGGGCCCGCACAAGCAGUGAACAUGGAGUUUAAUUCGAAGCAGCGCGAAGAACUUUACCAUGUCUGACAUCUCUGACACUUCUAUAAAUGAACGGUUCCCUUUAGGGGCCAAAUGACAGAGGUGCAUGUUUGCGAUAGCUCUUGUCUGGACAGUGAUGUUAAUCACCACAC
This 1045-nucleotide ribosomal RNA is filed under the name Bacillus sp. PGBw27. RNAcentral's name for it is "bacterial SSU rRNA". It matches the Rfam family "Bacterial small subunit ribosomal RNA", at positions 57 to 1093 of the family's 1533-position model. Lineage: Bacteria; Bacillati; Bacillota; Bacilli; Caryophanales; Bacillaceae. The record is from RNAcentral.